RNAcentral lists this long non-coding RNA (1164 nucleotides) under Vigna radiata. RNAcentral's name for it is "long non-coding RNA (VRAD_LNC016542)". The record is from RNAcentral. Lineage: Eukaryota; Viridiplantae; Streptophyta; Magnoliopsida; Fabales; Fabaceae.
GCAGAUAAGUAUCUAAUUCAUUCUUAGACCGAUACACUAAUUCAUAACUGUUAGUAUUUAAAGGUUGUGAAAGGAGUAGUUGAUAAGGUAGAGAAAAUGUAGAGAUAGUAGGAUGUAGAAGUAGUAGUUGGAAGAAGUGUAGUAGUUGUCUUAGUUGUUGUAGAUGUUGGCUUCUUAUUUUGCUUGCUUACAAAUGAUCCAAUCACCCCUAUUUAUACUAGUGGCACCUCCUUAACCAAUGGUUAGGAUCUUGCCACCACAACAUUAAUCUAAGGGUCAUUAUUCAUCUUCUAGAGUUUUCUAAAAUAUUCUUAUAAUUCUAAACUUAUCUAGAUAAAUCUAAUGGAUAAGCAUCCCUAGAUAUUUUUAUANAUCAUUCUAGAAUCCUUCUAGAUAGGAUAUUUCUAGAAUUCUAUUUUGGACCUUCUUUAGUUUUGGGCCUUCACUAGUCUUGGGCUUUUAUCUUUUAGGCCCAAUUUACAUUCUAACUCUUUUUUCCUAGGAGCUUCUCCAUUCUUCUAGAAUUUGCAUUACACUUUAACAAUAACACUCAUCCUCAAAGACCAACACCCCUGACUUGACGCAAAGACCCUAAAGUUACUCAUCUUAAGGUUUGUUCUGCUUCUGCACCACUAACUAUAACGUCAAAGCCAAAUGUGGGAAACACCAAAUCUCCCCAUCUUUAACCCAUUAAUUUCAAGAAACAAAAAGAAUACCUACAAAGAGGAUCCAACAAAGGAAAACAAGCAGGAGAGAGGCGAACGAGAAAGACAAAGAUAAAGAGACAUAACUGACAGCAAUGUUUUGGAGGGAUAGUCGAAGACGAAGUUAGGGACAUGGAAUCAUUGGAGAUUUAGGAGAUUCGGAAAUCACUGGUCAUAUUGGGGGAUUGGGAGAAUUAUAAAGGAUCGUGAUAUUAUAAGAACGCAGUUUUGACAACAAAUUAUAAAUGCAUAUGAAUGAAUCGCAAUUUGGGGGAAGGAAGCAGCUUCAAAGGCAGAAGAGACGGGAAGGAAGGAUGUUGUGGUGUCAAAAUCUUACAAACUUUUUUUUUUUCAAAUUUUAUUUUAGGUUUAACUUUAAUUAUGUAUCAUUUAAUUAUCGAUGAUAUAUAGCUAUUAAAUUUUCAUAAUUCUUAAUAUUUUAAAUAUUUAUUGUAACAUG